Molecule: ribosomal RNA, 323 nt
Filed under: uncultured bacterium
Lineage: Bacteria
Description: bacterial SSU rRNA
Rfam family: Bacterial small subunit ribosomal RNA
Source: RNAcentral
UCAGGCCUAACACAUGCAAGUCGAACGAGACCUUCGGGUCUAGUGGCGCACGGGUGCGUAACGCGUGGGAAUCUGCCCUUGGGUUCGGAAUAACAGUUAGAAAUGACUGCUAAUACCGAAUGAUGACUCCGGUCCAAAGAUUUAUCGCCCAGGGAUGAGCCCGCGUCGGAUUAGCUAGUUGGUGAGGUAAAGGCUCACCAAGGCGACGAUCCGUAGCUGGUCUGAGAGGAUGAUCAGCCACACUGGGACUGAGACACGGCCCAGACUCCUACGGGAGGCAGCAGUGGGGAAUAUAAAGAAUGGGCGAAAGCCUGAUCCAGCAA